UACUGAUUAAGUUUUCGCAUCAGCGAUUAAAGCGUGCCAACACAAAAGAAGGCUGGCAGUUGGAGAUUGAAAUGCUGAAGAAUGCUCUAGCGGCGGACGGGUGAGUAACGCGUGAGCAAUCUGCCUCAUACAGGGGGAUAACAGGUGGAAACACUCGCUAAUACCGCAUAAGACCACAGCACUGCAUGGUGCAGGGGUCAAGGAGUAAAAUCCGGUAUGAGAUGAGCUCGCGUCCCAUUAGCUAGUUGGCGGGGUAACGGCCCACCAAGGCGACGAUGGGUAGCCGACCUGAGAGGGUGAUCGGCCACACUGGGACUGAGACACGGCCCAGACUCCUACGGGAGGCAGCAGGUGGGGAAUAUUGCGCAAUGGGGGGAACCCUGACGCAGCAACGCCGCGUGAGUGAAGAAGGUCUUCGGAUCGUAAAACUCUGUCAUAGGGGAAGAAGGAGAUGACGGUACCCUAUGAGGAAGCCCCGGCUAACUACGUG
Molecule: ribosomal RNA, 490 nt
Filed under: uncultured bacterium
Lineage: Bacteria
Description: bacterial SSU rRNA
Rfam family: Bacterial small subunit ribosomal RNA
Source: RNAcentral